RNAcentral lists this ribosomal RNA (914 nucleotides) under uncultured bacterium. RNAcentral describes it as "bacterial SSU rRNA". It matches the Rfam family "Bacterial small subunit ribosomal RNA", at positions 8 to 916 of the family's 1533-position model. The record is from RNAcentral.
AGAGUUUGAUCAUGGCUCAGAUUGAACGCUGGCGGCAGGCUUAACACAUGCAAGUCGAGCGGGGUGAUGUAGCUUGCUACAUUACCUAGCGGCGGACGGGUGAGUAAUGCUUAGGAAUCUGCCUAUUAGUGGGGGACAACAUUCCGAAAGGAAUGCUAAUACCGCAUACGCCCUACGGGGGAAAGCAGGGGAUCUUCGGACCUUGCGCUAAUAGAUGAGCCUAAGUCAGAUUAGCUAGUUGGUGGGGUAAAGGCCUACCAAGGCGACGAUCUGUAGCGGGUCUGAGAGGAUGAUCCGCCACACUGGGACUGAGACACGGCCCAGACUCCUACGGGAGGCAGCAGUGGGGAAUAUUGGACAAUGGGCGAAAGCCUGAUCCAGCCAUGCCGCGUGUGUGAAGAAGGCCUUUUGGUUGUAAAGCACUUUAAGCGAGGAGGAGGCUACUUAGAUUAAUACUCUAGGAUAGUGGACGUUACUCGCAGAAUAAGCACCGGCUAACUCUGUGCCAGCAGCCGCGGUAAUACAGAGGGUGCGAGCGUUAAUCGGAUUUACUGGGCGUAAAGCGUGCGUAGGCGGCUUCUUAAGUCGGAUGUGAAAUCCCUGAGCUUAACUUAGGAAUUGCAUUCGAUACUGGGAAGCUAGAGUAUGGGAGAGGAUGGUAGAAUUCCAGGUGUAGCGGUGAAAUGCGUAGAGAUCUGGAGGAAUACCGAUGGCGAAGGCAGCCAUCUGGCCUAAUACUGACGCUGAGGUACGAAAGCAUGGGGAGCAAACAGGAUUAGAUACCCUGGUAGUCCAUGCCGUAAACGAUGUCUACUUGCCGUUGGGGCCUUUGAGGCUUUAGUGGCGCAGCUAACGCGAUAAGUAGACCGCCUGGGGAGUACGGUCGCAAGACUAAAACUCAAAUGAAUUGACGG